Molecule: ribosomal RNA, 3378 nt
Filed under: Ambystoma mexicanum (axolotl)
Lineage: Eukaryota; Metazoa; Chordata; Amphibia; Caudata; Ambystomatidae
Description: eukaryotic LSU rRNA
Rfam family: Eukaryotic large subunit ribosomal RNA
Source: RNAcentral
GUGGUGUCCCACGGCUGCCGGCACGGGAUGGCCCUGCAGCGGGGCCUCACAACCAUGUGGGCUUCAGCCGCAUACCGGAACAGUGCACACUCGGCUGCGCUGGAGGUAUGGGGCUGGGGCACCAACACUCCCCCCCCGCCACCCCCUUACAGGCCCGAGGCCUUACAGCCCACACAAACAAAGCAUUUACCCAACUGGAAGGAGGUGGGACUUUUAUCCGUCCAAGCAGGAUUCCCUCAGUAAUGGCGAGUGAAGAGGGAAGAGCCUAGCACUGAAUCGCGUUCAGCGGCAGCUGUGGGAAAUGUGGCGUACUGAAGACUGACUCCCAGUAUCGCUCAGGGAAAGUUGAAAAGAAUUUUGAAGAGAGAGUUCAAGAGGGCGUGAAACCAUCGAGAGGUAAACAGUUGGGGUCCAUGCAGUCUUCCCGCAGGAUUGAAGAUGGCUGGCAGGUCGGUCGCUUGGAACAGCGGAUGCCCUCGUGGGACUCCUGGCUGGGUACACCUGGCCCCAGCAAGGUGCAUUUCCGGUGUUACAACUCCCUGACAGCAGUUUUGCUGUGGCCGAGGGAGAUUGACCGCUGCCGCACUCUUCUCCGGCAACCGCCUCAGCACCUCUUGGGGGUUGCCGGGGCAGAGACAGAGCUCCCGAUGCUAGUGUCGACUGUGGUGGACUGCCAUCAGUGCGCUCGACCAUGUUGCACCGCUGGGCGGGGAGGCCCAUGAAGGACGCCAGGGGUCUGAGGUGAUGUUGUUUACCCACGCGACCCGUCUUGAAACACGGACCAAGGAGUUUAACACGUGCGUGAGGCGGAGGGCGAACAAAACCCUGUGGCGCUAAGAAGGUGAGCGUUGGCGCACGCUGGCUGGGAUCCCGGCGCAGUGGGUGUACCACCGGCCCGUCUCGCCUGCUCUGUCAGAGAGGUGGAGCAUGAGCGUGUGUGAUAGGACCCGAAAGAUGGUGAACUAGGCCUAGGCAGGGCAAAGCCAGAGGAAAAACUGGUGGUGGUCCGUAGCAGUCCUGACGUGCAAAUCGGUCAUCCGACCUGGGUAUAGGGGCGAAAGACUAAUCGAACCAUCUGGUAGCUGGUUCCCUCUGAAGUUUCCCUCAGGAUAGCUGGCACACAGAAACCCCAGUUUUAUCGGGUAAAGUGAAUAAUUAGAGGUCUUGGGACUUAAAUGAUCUCAUCCUGUUCUCAAACUUUAAAUGGGUAAGAAGUCCGGCUUGCUGGCAUCGAAUGCAAUCGCGUAGUGGGCCACUUGUGGUAAGCAGAACUGACGCAGUGGGAUGAACCGAACGCUGGGUUAAGGUGCCCAAUGCCCACGCUAAUCACACCCCAGAAAAGGUGUUGGUUGAUAUAGACAGCAGGACGAUGGCCUUGGAAGUCGGAAUCUGCUAAGCAGUGUGUAACAACUCACCUGCUGAAUCAACUGCCCUGAACAUGGAUGGCGCCGGAGCCUCUGUCCCAUACCGGGCCCGCUAUGGGGGCUAAGCUGCGACAAGUAGGAGGGCAGCACACAGAAGCCUGGGGUGAGGGCCCGGGUGGAGCCGCCACAUGAGCUGAUCUUGGUGGUUGUAGCAAAUAUUCAAACAAAAGGGUUCCACGUGAACAGCAGCUGAACAUGGGUCAGUCAGUCCUAAGAAAUGGUUGAGCGCCAUUCUGAAGGGACAAGUGAUGGCCUCUGUUGCCCUCAGCCGAUCAAAAGGGAGUCUGAUUCAGAUCCCCAGACCUGGAGUGGCGGAGACGGGUGCCCUUGCAGCGUCCAGUGCGGUAGCACAAAUGAUCCCAGAGCAGCUGGUGGGAUCCCCGGAGAGAGUUCUGUUUUCUUUGUGAAGGGCAGGGCACCCUGGAGUGGGUUCACCCUGAGAGAGGCACCCAAGACUGGGAAAGCGCUGCAUCGCCCGGUGAGCUCUCGCUGGUCCUCAAAAAUCCGGGGCGAUGGUGUAAAUCUUGCACCGGGCCGUAUAUAUCUGCAGCAGUUCGGGGUAAACAGCCUCUGGCAUGUUGGAACAAUUUAUGUGGGAAGCCGGGACUGGGCGCGCGCUGCAGGCUGGACGAGGCCACCCUUGCCGACUCUGGAUGUGAGCCUGGCCCUUCCUGUGGAUCUCCGCAGAUGCGGUGGUCACCUCUCUCUGUUCCGUUCCCCUCCCGCGGUUCGAUGCCGGCGUUCUGCCUCAGCUGACGCCUAGCAGCUGGCUUUGAACUGGUGCAGACCACGGGAAUCCGACUGUUAAAUUAAAACAAAGCAUUGCGUAAAGCCCACGGUGAGUGUUGACGCAAUGUGAUUUCUGCCCAGUGGUCUGAAUAUCAAAGUGAAGAAAUUCAAUGAAGCACAAGUGAACGACGAGAGUAACUAUGACUCUCUUAAGGUAGCCAAAUGGCUUGUCAUCUAAUUAGUGACCUGCAUGAAUGGAUGAACGAGAUUCUCACUGUCCCUACCUAUCUAGCAAACCACAGCCAAGGGAAUGGGCUUGGCCAAAUCAGUGGGGACAGAAGACCCUGCUGAGAUUCACUCUAGUCUGGCACAGCGAAGAGACAUGAGCAGUGUAGGAUAAGUACCACUACUCUUAUCGUUUUUGACUUAAUCAGUGAGGUGGGUUGGCGAGCCCCCUGGGACUCUCGCUUCGGGCUCCAAGUGCCCGCCGCUCCCCGGACAUGACCUGCUCCGGGGACAAUGGCAGGUGGGGAGUUUGACUGGAGCGAUACACUUGGCAAACCAUAACGCAGGUGUCCUAAGGCGAGCUCAGGGAGGACAGAAACCUCCUAUGGAUUAAAAGGGCAAAAGCUUGCUUCAUCUCGAUUUUCUGUAUGAAUACAGACUGUGAAAGCGGGGCCUCAGGAUCCUUCUAACUUUUCAGUUUCAAGUAGGAGGUGUCAGAAAAGUUACCACAGGGAUAACUUGCUUGUGGUGGCCAAGUGUUCAUAGCGACGACGCUUUUUGAUCCUUCGAUGUCGGCUCUUCUUAGCAUUGCGAAGCAGAAUUCACCAAGCAUUGGAUUGUUCACCCACUAAUAGGGAACAUGAGUUGGGUUUAGACUGUCGUGACACCGGUUAGUUUUACCCUACUGAUGAUGUGUUGUUGCAAUAGUAAUCCUGCUCAGUAUGAGAGGAACUGCAGGUUCAGACAGUUGGUGUAUGUGAUUGGCUGAGGAGCCAAUGGGGUGAUGCUACGAUCUGUGGGGUUAUGACUGAACGCCUCUAAGUCGGAAUUCACCCCCUCCCUCCAAGCUUAACAGUACUGUAGCGCUGUGGAGCCUCGGUUGGCCUAAGAUAGCCGGACUCUGGGCCGGUGCGUAGAGGUGCUCGCCUCUGGACUUGAGUGUGAACAGAAAGGGGCCACCUCUUUUGCCUGUAGUGCACCACAUGUUCGUGGGCAACCU